Molecule: ribosomal RNA, 450 nt
Filed under: uncultured bacterium
Lineage: Bacteria
Description: partial 16S ribosomal RNA
Rfam family: Bacterial small subunit ribosomal RNA
Source: RNAcentral
GUGGGGAAUAUUGGACAAUGGGCGAAAGCCUGAUCCAGCCAUGCCGCGUGUGUGAAGAAGGUCUUCGGAUUGUAAAGCACUUUAAGUUGGGAGGAAGGGCAGUAAGUUAAUACCUUGCUGUUUUGACGUUACCGACAGAAUAAGCACCGGCUAACUUCGUGCCAGCAGCCGCGGUAAUACGAAGGGUGAAAGCGUUAAUCGGAAUUCCUGGGCGUAAAGCGCGCGUAGGUGGUUUUGUAAGUUGGAGGUGAAAUCCCCGGGGUAAACCUGGGAACUGCCUCCAAAACUGCAUGACUAGAGUACGGUAGAGGGUAGUUGAAUUUCCUGUGUAGCGGUGAAAUGCGUAGAUAUAGGAAGGAACACCAGUGGCGAAGGCGACUACCUGGACUGAUACUGACACUGAGGUGCGAAAGCGUGGGGAGCAAACAGGAUUAGAAACCCGAGUAGUCC